AGAGUUUGAUCAUGGCUCAGAUUGAACGCUGGCGGCAUGCGUAACACAUGCAAGUCGAACGGUGUUUGGUGCUUGCACCAGACAUAGUGGCGGACGGGUGAGUAAUGCGUAGGAAUCUGUCUUAGAGAGGGGGACAACCCGAGGAAACUUGGGCUAAAACCGCAUAUUCUCGAGAGAGGAAAGCAGGGGACCGGAAACGGCCUUGUGCUCUAAGGUGAGCCUACGUCGGAUUAGCUAGUUGGCAGGGUAAAAGCCUACCAAGGCGAUGAUCUGUAGCUGGUCCGAGAGACGGACAGCCACACUGGGACUGAGACACGGCCCAGACUCCUACGGGAGGCAGCAGUGGGGAAUAUUGGACAAUGGGGGGAACCCUGAUCCAGCGAUGCCGCGUGUGUGAAGAAGGCCUGCGGGUUGUAAAGCACUUUCAGUGGGAAAGAGAAGCGUCUUGUGAAUAAUGGGACGUGGAGACGUUACUCACAGAAGAAGCACCGGCUAACUCUGUG
This 503-nucleotide ribosomal RNA is filed under the name uncultured bacterium. RNAcentral's name for it is "bacterial SSU rRNA". It matches the Rfam family "Bacterial small subunit ribosomal RNA", at positions 8 to 507 of the family's 1533-position model. The record is from RNAcentral.